UGUCAAUAUCCUGGUAUGGAUAAUUGACAAAAGUUAAAGAGAAGAUCCUAAAACUAAAACUUCGGUUUUAGUAAGAAAUAGCGUUUUUACAAACAUAAAUUCUGAUAGGAAUUUAAAUAGUAAGCAUGAAAGAUACAAGUCUUGACACUGAUAGGCGCAAGACGAUAUAUUCGAAAAGUGAUAUUUUCAAAAAUGAAAGGUUGAUACAAACUAAACACGAUGUGACACGAUCACGGUUAGGAAAUGUAAUGUGAAGUAAAAUCACGUUAUAACCAAGCGAGCAGUGAGAAGUAACGGGACUAAUAAGUCUAGUUAGUAAGACCGGUUAAGGCCAGUAAUUCAAAUCAAUAAAAAAAAUUGGUUUGCUUGUAAGCGGUGGAUUCGGUAUAACUGAACCGAAUAAAUAAAUCUGAAAACAAAAGAAAUUAUUGCUAAAAGUGAAAUAUUUCACUAAAGACCUUUAAACGGGUCAAGGUAACGGAUUCACCAAGAGUUCGAUAAUAUAUAAAAGCGAUGGAAAUCGCUAAGUUAACUAAACUAGUAGAAAUAACGGAAUUACGUUAUUUCAAAUUACAUUAUGUCGUAUGAGGUACGUAGAGGUUCUGUAACCAAAAAGAUAUUACCAAAAUUUUUCUGGUAAUACUAACAAUUGGUUAAAAUAUGAAUAAUGCUUAAGAGAUUACUCAGGUCAAACGCAUUGAGUUUAGAACUCAAUGAACUAUGUAAGCAAGGUUUCGAGGACGAAACCUCUUUAAGGGGGGUAGACUUGUAACACCCCGAAAACGGGCUUGGUAAUUAAACUCUGUUAAUACUAAAAGACGGGUAACGUACCGUUAUUAGUAAAAAUAACCCGGCAAAUAUUUGGAUUUAAAUAAGAAAUCCUAAUAUUAAAUAAAAACGAAUCAAAGUUUUAAGUAAUUAAGUUUAUAAAAGGCCCGAUUUAACGGGACUUAAAGUAAAACGGGUUACGACUUCCCGAACCUACUAAGCUAACUAGGAAUAAUUCUAACCUAGUUAGAUAGUGACUUAUGAGUGGGUUAAAACACUUAAAUUAUGAACUAAGGAAAAUGAAGGGGCCAAAGAUGUUAAAAUCGAAACUUAUGUUGCUAAUUUAAUUAAAACAAAAACCAAACACCCCAUUUGGGGAUGUCUGGUCGUACAAAGAAGCAGGAGGCGAUGGGUUUCUUCAAACCCUAAAAUCCUUACUAAUACUCUCAAAUUGGAGGUGCAAAUCUGGUCCAAAACGAAAAUUCGAGCAUAGAUUACUGAUCCCCAUUGCAAGGGGGUUGUAAGGUGAUAAGUGUGAUGAUGCUAAAUUCGUGUAAUGUGAUUUUGACUCUUGACAAGCUAGAUGGAGGCUUGGAAUGAAGCGGGUCAAACGGAGCAGGUACGAAAAGGAAAGCGUAAUUUGGAUGCGAGGUAAGUAAAGCUUACGCCCUCUUUUGUAAGUUAUGUGUUUAUUCAUAGGUUGUAAAUACGACAAAAGCUAUAUUUGGAAUAUGGUUCCGACACGAAAUGUAACGGGUCGGGACAUAUAAAAUAAUGAUAAACCAUGUUUAAUGGUAAAAUGGGGGAAAUGGUAAUUGGUCACGAGAUGACAUAUAUAUAAAAUGAGUUUUUGAAUUACUACUUAUUAAGGUAAGCCUAAACGAAUAAAAAGAGUAAAACGACGAAUUAGUCAUGUGUAGACGAAAAAGAGUUGAAGUUUAAAACAACACCAUUUAAUAUUAAGCACAAAAUAUUUGGUAGUCUAGACCAAACGGGUCAAAUGGUAAUAUUUAUACCAUUUGACAAUUAACGACUAAUAAGUGUAUGUCGAGUCUCAUGCUCGCAGGGUAAUUGGUUUAUGAAUUAGCGAGGCUAUGAAUUAGCAUAUUAUAGAGACAAGGUCUUAAAACGGGUCAAUAUGUUGACCCGAGCCAGGUACGCUUAUAUAUAUAGAUGUAUAGUUAAAAGUGUUUAACUUCCCUUCACGGGUCAAAAGGAGUAGAUAGGUAAAACGGGUUAAGAAUUCAUAAGAAACCCGUAAUUUGAACCUUGCACAUUAGUAAAUUGAUAUAACGUGAUAUGCAUGAUAUUUUGAAUAUGAUUGAUUGAUCUUUGAUAUUGGUUCAUAUGUAACAUAUUAGAAUUUCGAGAAACUAAUUGGUAUGUUAGAAAGAGCGAAAUCCGAGAUUUAGGCAUUGAGUAUAAUGAACAAAGCAACCAAAAGAUGUAUUUACAGGGACUACCGUAAGUUACGGUAGUACCGUAAGUUACGGUAGUACCGUAAGUUACGGUAGAGGUCAGGAGCUUACGGUGUGAGUCUACUGGUUUACGGUGGACCAUUAUUGGAAAUUGACCACCGUAACUUACGGUGAAACCGUAAGUUACGGUAGGGCCUGAAUGUUUAUAAAUUUUAUAUAAUUGUAAAUUUUCAAAUUCAUUUCGAUCGUAGUUUCGAUCAAGUAUCAUUUCUAAGCAUUCUAAUAUAAAUGUUUAUGUAAACAUUUCAGUCUUAGGUGCUCAAGGAUUAUGGGUGACGAUCAAGCAACCUUUGAAGGACCGAACACAUACUCUUGAAGCUUCCGCAUAAAUCAACUCGGUUUAAACAAUGUUUAUGAUGUAAACUGUUUGCUAAACAACUUUUGAAAUGUUUAAACGACGUACUCAAUUAUGUUAUGUUGUAUUAUUUUAAAAUUGUAAAGUUCAAACAAACCCGUAUUUUUACAAAGUAUAUGUAGUCAUAAUUACAUGUUGUUUGUCGUAUACUUUACAAAAAACCAUUAAAUAAUGACAAGGGUGUUACAGUAAUAUCAAACUUAUCUCACCAUAGU
This 2816-nucleotide long non-coding RNA is filed under the name Helianthus annuus (common sunflower). RNAcentral describes it as "sRNA HanXRQr2_Chr10g0423201". The record is from RNAcentral. Lineage: Eukaryota; Viridiplantae; Streptophyta; Magnoliopsida; Asterales; Asteraceae.